This 25695-nucleotide long non-coding RNA is filed under the name Elaeis guineensis (African oil palm). RNAcentral's name for it is "long non-coding RNA (EGUI_LNC018061)". The record is from RNAcentral. Lineage: Eukaryota; Viridiplantae; Streptophyta; Magnoliopsida; Arecales; Arecaceae.
UCCCUCUAUCUAUUCUUCUCUCAUAGAGAGUGGAGCCCCGGAGGCCUCAAUGGGUCACCACCAGCCAUCAUCCGCUUUUCCUCUUCUUUCCUCUCCCUCUCUCUUCCUCUGUCUCCUUCUCCCUAGUUCCAUUUUCGCCAAUAUUCAGAAUCAAAUGCCUGAAUUGCACCGAUAGGCCGCUGGUAUGGUUUGGGGCAGUUUGACAUUCCAUGCAUGAUACUUUCCACUAGCGGCACUUGUUGCCAAUAUAAAUAUAAACAACCAUCAGUGAUCCAAGAUGUGAUGGAAAGUAGCACUUAUUAGAUAAAGGCUAAUCAGCUAGAAGGGAGAGUAGUGAAAUACAACAGUAAUAUUGAUGCUGGUGGAGUUUCUUCUUGGCAAGUCUGUCACAAGUGCUAAAGAAACAACUCAGUGCCUUGUACUAUCAACAACAAAAUUAGCUGCAUUGACCAACAUGCUAGAAUCUAAAUUAGAAGGUCGAGUGGAUCUCCAGAGGCAAGUAGGCAACAAAAAUAAAAUUUGGGCAUGUUAAAGGGAGGUAGAUUUGUGUAUCCUUGGUAAUAAUUUCAGCAAGAGAUGAACCAAGGAAGGUGGGUUUAGAAUGAAAACAAUUUCAUGUAUAAAGUCAAAUUCUGUAUGAGAUGCAUUAGGAACAGAUUCAAGCAAUGAUAAUCUUCUCAAUGCUAAUCACGUAUUAGCAUGCUUUGUGCAAAAAUUGGAGGUUCAUGAAGUUAGCUGCUGCUGGUGAUCCAUCAUAAUAAAUUCUGGAACACACUGUUCCUCCUCUGAUGAAUGGAUAGAAUUCUUGAAUCUGAUCUUCACCUGUAUGACUAGUCUGAACAAGGAGCCUAAUUAUAGAAACCAUUGGUUUGGGGAUUUGCAGACUGAUCUAGGAAGUGGUGAAUGAAGGGGAUAACUAUGAACUAGGAAAUGAGAGUUGUUCCAACCAAAUGGCAGUCAUAAGCAUCAUUCAAAAAAUUGCUCUCUAGAUGGUUUGGAGUCUUCUGUCCUCAAUAUGAUUCUGCAUGCCAUCACCAUGAAGGGUUUUACAGAACCAGAUGAUAUUGUGCUUGAGAUCAUGCUUAUCAUACAAUGUAUCUCAGUGGCUGACGUUAUUCUUCAGAAAACAAAGCAAGAGACUAUGAUCAAUCAUUUUUUGUGGAAAAAAGAGUGGCUACACUUCCAAACAAAUAACUAACUGUCCUGAAUACAUGAUGGCACAAGAAAAUUGUAAGCAGCUCUCUGGAAAAUAAAAGAUGUAACAGAUACAAUGGUCCAUGUGUGAUAGUCAGGCAUGGAUACCCGUGAAACAAGUAUUUGCGCCCCCUCCCAGCAAUAUUUUCAUUCCGAAGGGGUCAAAUUGAUCCUAUUGUUUGAAGUUUGGAUAAUACCAGAGGAGUUAAAAGGGUGAUUUGCCUAGUGGAAUUUGUUGUUCCUAGUUCAUGGAUCCCUGACUUCAAAUCAUGUGAAGAAAUCUAUCAAAAGAGAGAAGAGAAGGCUAUGAAAAUUGAGAGCUUGGGAGAAAACAACAUUCAUACGAGUGAAAUCUAGCUCAAACAACUCCUUUAGUUACUAAUGUAACUAGUUAAAAAAUAACAGGAAGAAUCUGCUUCCACCUUCCAAGUGUUUGAUGAUCAUUCGUCUCAUAUUGAUGUAAAGUUCUUUACACAAAGAAUGAAAUCAAGGUUUUACAUCCCGAUGGGAUGGCCAGGGGGCAUCUUGGCCGUCCUAUCUUGUUCUUGUGCAAAAAUGGGAUUGGGACGAGCUCGGAACUCUGAAAUCCAUCUAUGUAGAAGAGAAGAAGAAAGAGGAAAGAAAGGAAGGAAAGAUGAAGGUGGAAAAUAUGGGUAAAAGCAAUGCACCUCUCUCUAGGAUUGUAUUAAUAUUUAUAGAGAUAUGUACAGAUGACUUAGCAUAAAUGGACAUGUACAAAUAAGGUAUCGAAGUAAAAAAUUAAAUAAGCCUAAUAUACUACUGCCAUAAAUAAAUCUAAUGCCAUAAAUAUAAUAGUACUCUAACAUCCCCCCACAACCUGAACAUCUCGUGGUCAAAUGUGAAGAUUGGAUCAAAGUAGAGUAAACUGGGAAGUGGACAAUGGCUUCGCGAAGAUAUCAACAAGUUGCUUGUCAGAAGAAAUGUGAAGAAGAGACAAAUCACCCAUUUGAACUUUCUCUCAUAGAAAAUGAUGAUUAAGCUCAGUGAGCUUGGUGCGCGCAUGAAGAACUGGAUUGGUAGCAAUAUAAGUGGUGUUAAGAUUGUCACAGUAAAUAGAGAUAGACGGCACAAGGGCCAUGCCAAGAUCUCAAAAAGAGAGCGAAUCCAGAUGGUUUUAGCAGGCGUGAAUGCGACAAUGUGAUAUUCAGCUUCGAAGCUCGAUCGAGAUAUAGUAGGCUAUUUCUUAGCAAACCAAGAAAUAAGAUUUAGACCCAGAAAGAUACAAAAAUAAGAAUUGGAGUGCUGAGUAUCAGGACAUCUUGCUUAGUCUGCAUGUGAAUAGACCACUAAGGACAGACACUGGCAUCAAGAAAAUUAAAGCCCAUAGGAUAAAGUACCACAAAUAUAGCGAAGGAUGCAUUUGACAGUUUGGAAAUAUGGUUUACAUGAAGCAUGCAAAAAUAGGGCCACGAGGUUGACAGUAUAAGAAAUGCCUGGAUGAGUGAAAGUAAGAUAUUGCAAAGCCCUCACGAUUUGAUGGUGUAAGAGUCCUUAAGCAGGCGAUCUUUGUGAGCGGAUAGAUUGGUGUUAAGUGCAAGAGGAGUAGAGACCGACUUGCUAGAGGAGAAACCAUGAUGCUCCAGGAGGUUAUGAGCAUACUUUUGUUGAUUAAGGAAUACACUACUAGUCGAAUUAGAUACUUCCACUCCUAGGAAGUAAUAAAGCGGGCCUAGAUCUUUCAUGGCAAACUCAGCAUGCAAGAUGGAUAUUAAGGAAGCCAAUAGAGAGGACGAGCUACCAGUUGACUCUCCUAGAAACCCAACACAGAAAGAAAAGAGGUAAAUUGUUGAAACCAGGCAUGGGACACCUAUUUUUUGAGCCCAUAAAUAGCCUUACGCACUCGACAAACAUGGUUGGGGUAGGACAGUGCACAAAAUUAGGUGGCUGCAUCAUGUAGACCUCCUCAGACAACACCCGUGAAGGCAUUUUUAACAUCUAACUGUCAAAGAGACUACUUAGAAGAGACAGCAAUAGACAAGAUAGUGCGAAUAGUAGUAAGCUUAACUAUUGGGGAGAAGGUCUCAUUGAAGUUGAUCUUCGAUUAUUGUUUAGAGCCUUGAGCAACCAACUGAGCCUUGAGGCACUCCAAAGAGCCAUUCACAUUCUGUUUGACUUUGAAGACCCACUUGAUGCUGAUGAGAUUAACAAAGGGUGGCGAAGGCACAAGAUCCCAAGUAGCAUUGGAGAGUAAGGCUUGAUAUUCAUCCAACAUUGCUUGUCGCUAAUCUACAUGUUGAAAGGCUUUAGAAAAAGAGUGAGGUUCAGUAGGUAAAGUAGAAGCCAUGAGAGAAGAGGACAUAUCUCACUUUCGGAUAAGGGAUCUUGUGAGCAUAGGAUGGGUGUGAAUAGGAAACAAUGUAAGAGCGACAGAGGGUGGUGGCUUAGUCGCAUCCAAAGAAUUGGUCCCAACAAUUGGAUAGGUCUCAGCCAGUCCGAGCGAGGAAUUGGUCCUUUAUUGUGGACCGGUCUGAUUUGGGAGUGUAGGAUUGGAUGUGGUUUCGGUUGUGACUGGGGGUUCCAUUUUAGAUUUAGGAGGAUGAGGUCUUUUAUUAUAGAUAUGAAGUUGUUUUGGAUUGCCAGAUGAGAUAUGUGUCUCAGUCCUAGGUGGAGAGAAGGUAGAGAUCUCGUUGAUAGGCAAUCCUUCCAAUCGGGAGGAAUCUAGUAAAAUAUUAGGAGUAGAGUAUCUAGAAGAAUUUGAAGCAGAAUUAUUGUUAGGAAGAAAAACAAAUUUUGAGAUUGCUUUGAGGGUAGAGGGAUCAUGAUGCAGCCUAGACUAUGCUUUGAUGGAAAAGAGAGAAGGAAGACGUACGAAACAAGAGAACAGCAAAAGUAAAAAGAAACUAUAAUCUAAAGUUUUGAUUCAAUAACAAAGAAAAUAGACUGACUACAAUAUUAGCCUAAAGGAUUGUAUUUAUAGAAGAAAAAAACCGAACUUAACGCCUAAGCAAUCUUAAACAAAAUAGGAAAAAGAUUAAGACUUUCAAUUCGUCCAAAUCCUUCGGACUCUGUUGAUCUGUCAAAUGAUGGAAUCUAGCCCUGAAACUAGCUAUGAUGGCGAAGCGGUCAGGCUCGUAGAGCACAGAAGAGUUUUCAGAAUUGGGGUCUUAUAAGCGAUUCUGACUGUAGAUGUGAGAGUUAUGCCCAUUUUAGCAUGGCAGGGUCAAAAUCUGGUUGGGUCAGGCAUAAUCAGCUUGAUUUCUUGUCCUUUUAGACCUGGUCCAUCAAAUCAAGGUAUUUACUAGUUAAGACAUCUACAUCAGAUCAUUACCUAACAGAGGUGGAUUUGUCAACAAAAAUUGAAAUAAUUGAAAAUUUGAAUGAGAAUGGGUAGAGUCAGUAAAUUUGAAGAGAUGAGUAUGGAAAAUAGAUUCAAUGAAUGUAACAUAUCAAGAAAUAUAAACUUUUCCAGUACUUGGAUAAAGGCAUCAGAACCCUUUGUGUUUAUUAGAAAUUUUCAAGUAAACAUAAGGUAGAGACCGAGGAGAGAGCUUAUGAUUGGCGAUGUUCUGUAGAUCUAGACAGCACAAGCAUCUGAAUAUCUUUAAAAGUUGCAAGUCAUAAGGAGGAUAGCCAUACAAGAUAUAUUAAGGUGAUUUGCCCUUUAAACAAUAAUAGAGAGAAUAUGAUUAAUGAGAAAAACACAAUUUGAAUCGCAUCAGCCCAAAACUUAGCAGGCAUGCAAGAUUGAAAAAGUAUAGUUCUAACAAUAUUAGCAAUGUGUCUAUAUUUUCAUUCAGCUACCCCAUUUUGUUGUAAUGUAUGUGGACAAGAAAUUCUAUGAAGUAUACUACAUUUAUGAAAUAAAGUAAGGAAUUUUUUAUGAAUUAUACUACAUUUUCAACUAAAGCCUUAAAUUCAAAAAACUUGUCAAACACCUCAUUCUUGAAUUUUAAUAAACAUACCUAUGAAUAAUGAGACUGAGAGUAAUCAUCCACAAAUAGAACAUAAUAUUUGAAACCAAAAACAAAAUUAAUAGGUGCUUGCCAUAUAUCAGAAUGAAUCAGUUGAAAAGAAAAAGUCGAAAAAGAAUCAUAUUUAUUAAAGAAAAGUUUUACAUGUUUGCCAAUAUGACAUGUAUUAUAAUGAGACAAAUUUAUUCUAGAUUCAAAGAGCACAUUAGUCUCUUUCAUAAACUUAGACAAAACCAAUUGACUCAGAUGACCUAACCUCCUAUGGCAAAGAUCGUUGCUAAAUGUCAUAGCAACCAAAGCAGAUUGACAUUCUGCAUGUACUCGGUCAUGCUCAUUGUUCGCUUAUUUAUGUUUUGAAGUUCCGGCUUGAGAGAGAAUGUGGUGGAUGUAAUUUUAUCUAAUAAAUAUGCUUCAAUCGCCGUCCAGGCCUCGCGCGCUAUCUUUGGUGAAGUGGAUAUCACCAUCUAUAAAAUGCUCAAAGACAACUUCGCAUUAAUCCAUGACAGUAUGGUUGUAUCUUCUUUCUUUUAGAUAGAAUAGGUCAGAUUGACCAAAACUCUGUUGUUGGUUCCCUCAAUUGUUUGAGAAGGAAUGAUUGUCGUGCCAUCUACAUGUGAGGAAACUCCAAAACUUUUAAGCAUGUUCAGAAAUACAUGUUUCCAAACAAGAUAAGUGGUGUCGGUGAGUUCAAUUGGGACCAAGAUUUUGAUAUUGACUAUGGGAAGUAGUUAAGACAUGUUAGCCACCAUAAGUUAGUUGUAAGAUGACAAAAUAAAAGUCACACCAAGAAAUUGAUGGCCAGUACUGUAGUUGGAUUUACUAUAGCAAUACUGUUGCGAUGGUACUGUAGCGGUACUGUAGCAAGCAAUAAACGUGACAAAAGUAAUAUGAAAGAAAAGAGAAGGUUUGAUGAUGGGUAUGUGGAUCGACUGGAGAUGGAUAUGGGUAUGUGAAAGAAAAGAGAAGGAGAAGAAAGGGAGUAAUUGGUGGUAGAGGAUCCACCGAAGAUGAUCACUUAUGGCGGCGACUUAUUCUAGGGUUAGGUUUUUGGCUCUGAUACCAUAAAAAUAUGGGUAAAAGCAACGCACCCCUCUCUAGAGUUAUAUUAAUAUUUAUAGAGAUAUGUACAGAUGACUUAGCAUAAAUAGACAUGUACAAAUAAGACAUAGAAGUAAAAAAUAAAAUAAGCCUAAUAUGCUACUAUCAUGAAUACAUCUAAUGCCAUAAAUACAAUAAUACUUUAACAGAAGGAAAGGAAAAAAUGAAAGGAAAGAAGAAGAAAAUGAAAAAAAGAAAGGAAGGGAGAAGGAAAAUAAAGAAAAGAAGGUAGAGGAAAAAAAGAAAACAAAGAAGAAAGAAAAAAAGAAACAAAGAAAGGAAAGAAGGGGAAAAGGAUGGAGGAUAUCCACUAGAUUGCAUGAUUGGGACUGUUGUUGGGACGGGACAAGAUGGUGGGGUGUCCCCUUCUAUGGAGAAAUUGGGACGCCUUUGUCCCAUGGAUUUAAAACCUUGAAUGAAACAACUCAAGAAAUUUCCCAAAUUGACAUGGCUUUUGGUGGUGACGGCAUAAUAGCUGAUGACCAUCUAUGAUGAAGGUAGUAGCUUAGAGAUGGGAAAAUGACAAGCAUGUGCAAUGAUGAGAUGUUAUUACUAACCUCUGUUAUUGCAAACCCAAGCUUUUUUCAAAGAUGUUCUGGACAUUAGUGAGGGGCUUGUCACUGUCAUACAUUGUGAAAAUUAGGACACAGGAAGAAUGGGAACAUUUAAUUAAUUAAUUGUAUUUUACUUGGGCAAUAGCCCAAGUACAUCUAUGUGACAACAAUUACAAUCACCAAGUUGGUAAGCAUAUUACCAACAAUGUAAAAGAACUGUAUAUGUAGAGUCAAAACAUCCUCUAAUCCUAUUAACAUUGGUAUUGCAAUUCUUUGCAUUCUCUCCUCUAACGUGCUUUUUCUCCAUCAUCAUAUAUCCUGCAAUUGUCAAUUUACUUGACAUCAUCAGGUAACCAAACAUGGAAUUGUAUAAGUUUUGCUUACAACAAAAUCAAACUUGAAUAAAUGUGAACAAAGUACCUACAAAUUAUUAAGAUUUGAUAAUCAUUCUCUCCCCCUCUCUCUCAUUGCUUAUUUACUUUUUUAUUUAUGUACUUGUGUUUUUCUCUAUUAGCUAAGAAGGGGACCAGGGAGGUUUUGUUGGGUGAAAUUUUCCAUAAUUUGUCGCUGUGAUCCAAUUAAUUUGCAAAUUCCUAAAUGAACCUGAAAUAAAAAUAGUUGGAUUUUGAUGAUUCUUUCUCAAACUUCAAUCAUUUAAACUUAACAGUUACAAUCAUCAAAAUCUAUUUGGAUGACUCUAAUGGGAUCUUUUUCACCAUUCAUUACUGUUGGGUACUUCAUCCUUUGUUUUUAAUAAGUUUUUUUUAAUGUUUGUAUACUCUUUCAUCUUUCAAAUUUGAAUGCUUGUCACAACUUGAAGGUCCUGAGGCCCUUUGAUCUGCAAGAUCUCUAUAGUUCCUUGCUUCUGUUUCUAUUUAUUCUCAUUCACUGCAUUCCUUUGGUUUUCCUCCUAUCCAGUUUAACAAAAAACUAGUUAGAGCAAAUAAAAGGAGAGGUUUUACUAUGUCUCCUGUGAAAGUAAUUGUAUCUCUUUUCAUAUAUCUAUUUUAUGUUACAAGAGGCUCUAUAUAUAGAGCAAUAAAGGUCCAGAUACAAUGAACUAUCUAGAUACAAUGAACGAUACAAUAAAGAUCCAAAUACAAUGAACCAUUUAGAUACAAUGAACCAUAUAAAUCAUAAUCUCAAUCAAAUAUUCUGUUACCUAAUUGAUCUCCUAAUUGAUAUAUUUCUUAAAUAGGAUUAUUCUCAACACUCCUCAAGAUGGAGCAUAUAUAUAAUGUAUGCCCAGCUUAUUACAAAUGUAAUUUACCCGAGGACCUCUAAGUUCUUUAGUGAAAUGCCAGCUGAUCACUUGAUCCAAAACAAAUGCAGUCGCAAUAUCUCGUGAUUGUAAUUUUUCUCGAAUAAAGUGGCAGUCCACCUCAAUAUACUUAGUCUUUUCAUGAAACAUGGAGUUUGAGGCAAUAUGCAUUGCUGUUUGAUUAUCAUAAAAUAAUUUCAUAGGUUAUUAUUGUGUCUUGCCCAAUUCUCCUAGUAGCUACUUCAAUCAUAUGGACUCACACGUUGGCAGGGCCAUAGCUCUAUAUUCAGCCUCUGCACUUGAAUGGACCACAACAUUCUACUUUUUACUAUUCUAGGAGAUCAAGUUUCCUUCAAACAAUACAUAAUAUCUAGUCAUGGAUCUUCUAUCAGAUAGUGAACCAGCCCAGUUAGCAUCACUAUAGCCAAUUAGUUGAGCAUGACCCCUAUCCUGAUAUAAUAAACCUCUUCCAGGCGCAGUCUUGAUAUAUUUGAUAAUUCGGAUUAUUGCAUCCCAAUGUGCCAUAGUUGGAGAAUCCAGGAAUUGACUUACAACACUAACAGCAAAGAAGAUGUUUGGUUUGGUAAUUGUGAGAUAAUUCAACUUGCCAACCAAUCUUCAAUAUUGCCCACGAUCUGAGAAAGGCUCCCCCUCUCCUAGUACAAGUCUGACUUUAGGGUCCAUAGGAGUAUCAACAAGUUUGGACCCAACUAAUCAAGUUUUCUUCAAAAUAUCCAACACAUACUUCCUCUGACAUAUAUAGAUACCACGUUCAAGUUUUACAAUCUCAAUUCCAAGAAAAUACUUCAGAGAUCCCAAAUAUUUGAUCUAAAACUGUGAAUGCAAAUGAGUCUUAUGUUGAGUAAUACCAACUUCAUCAUCUCUAGUGAUAACUAUAUCAUCAACAUAGACAACUAGAAUUAUUUUUCAUCCCUUAGAAUGUCUGUAGAAAAUAGAGUGAUCUGAUUGAGAUCUCACUAGUCCAAAGUCCAGAAUAGUUGAACUAAAGCGACUAAAUCAGGCUCGAGGAGUUUGUUUUAAGCUAUAUAAUGACUUCUUAAGCUUACAUACUUUGCCAGAGAACUCCUCCUUAGUAACAAAUCUGGAAGGUUGCUCUAUAUAGAUAUUCUCCUUGAGAUCUCCAUGCAAAAAGACAUCUUUUCUUGAUAUCUAGUUGAUGCAGGGUCCAGUGAUGAAUAGUAGCCAAAAAAAGAGCAAACAGACUGAAACAAUCUUAGCUACCGGAGAGAAGGUGUCAUUAGAAUCUAUCUCAGGAAUCCGAGCAUAGCCUUUGGUAACAAUCCGAGCCUUUAGAUGAUCAAUCUUUCCACUAGGAGAUACCUUCACUGUGUACACCCAACGACAUACGACUGUAGACUUAUUAGGUGGCAAAGAUACCAGUUUCCAAGUGCUAUUAGCAUGCAAGGCUGAUAUCUCUUCCAUCAUUGUUGCCCGUCAGCCAGGAUGUGCCAAUGCCUCUAUAGUAAAGUGAGGAACAGAAAUAGAAUCCAAGAAAGAGAGAAGGCCUGUAUAGAGAAUAGAUAAGCGAUGAUAGCUCAAAAAAUUAUAAAUGGGAUGAGUAGCAGUAGUAGCAUGUUUACCUUUUCUAUGUGCAAUAGGCAGAUCAAGUUCAGAAGGUGAUGGUGAUAAUGGACCCGAUGUGGAAGGAGCUAUAGGUACAAGAGAGUUCUCGACAAGUCUCAUCGGAGGGUCAUGCACUCCUUUUGCUACAGCAAUUUUUGCUUGAGGUGCCUUUUGCCUGUGCUGAAAUGUAGUGAGGUCACUUUGUUCUGCUUUCCUAAUAGAAGAAUUUGGAGAGGGCAUGAAAGUAAAUAUUUUUGGAAGAGGAAUAAGAGCGGAUGCAAUGGUGGUGGAUGACUCGGAUGAUGAUGUAGUGGAGUUGGAGAAGAAAGGAGUGGACUUAAAAAAGAUAACAUCGGUGCAAACAAAAUAUUAGUGAAGUUCGGGAGAGUAGCAUCUAUACCCUUUUUGCCCUUGUUAAUAUCUAAGAAAAAUAUAUUUAAUAGGGCAAGUAGAUAACUUAGAUGCACCGAGAGAUAAUUGAUGAACGAAGCAUACACAUCCAAAACAUGUGGGGAUAAUGAUAGGAUGCAUCUUGUGAAAGUAAAAUUGAAAUAAGAAUUUGAUCCUGAAGAACACUAGAGGGCAUUUGAUUAAUUAAAUAACAUACAGUAAGGAGAGCAUCAUCCCAAAAACGAUGAGGAACAUGCAUAUGUAAAAGUAAUGUUCGUGUCGUUUCAACAAGAUGCCUUUUUUUUUCUCAACCACUCCAUUUUGUUGAGUGUGAGAGCACAAGGACCGAUGUAUCAUACUGCGAGAUGAUAUAAAAGAUCGAAAUUAAGUAGAGAAGUAUUCUCGAGCAUUAUCACUAUGAAGAGUAUGAAUAGAAACUCUAAACUGAGUGUUAAUCUCAGCACAGAAAGAAACAAAGAUAGAAAAUACUUCAGAAUAAUUUUGCAUCAAAUAAACCUAAGUUACUCGAGUAUUCAUCAAUAAAAAUAACAAAAUAAUGGUAACCUUGACUUGAGAUAAUACUACAAGGAUCUUAGAUAUUAGAGUGAACAAGAGAAAAAGGAGUGCUAGCUCGUUUAUUGACAUGGCUUGAAAAUUGAGUUUGUGUAUUUUUCAAGCUGAUAUGACUAACAAUUUAAUUCAUUUAUACUAAACAUACAAGGGACCAUCUUCUUUAGGGUAGUCAAGGAUGGGUGCCCAAAACGACUAUGAAUUUGCAAUGAAGUAGCAAUCAUGUAGGCAGUAGGUAACUCAGAGGAAACUGGAGCAUAUAGGCAGUAGAGUCCUUAAGACUCAUGCCUUGUGCCAAUCGUCCUUCCAAUCCUUGAAUCUUGAAUCACAAUAUUAUCAGAAUAAAAGAUUAUGAUACAAUUAAGUUUUUUUGUGAGUUCACUAAUGAAAAUUAACUUAAAAGGAAACUGAGGAAGAAACAAAAUAGAAGACAGGGAUAGGGAUAGGAAAGCAGUACGUGCUACUGUUCCAAUGCCCCAUAUAGGAGUAACAGACCCAUUGGCUAAUAUGACAAAUGGUAGAGCAUUAGGCUUAGUUAAACAAGAGAACAAAUUGGGAUUACUAGAUAUAUGCUCGGAAGAACCAGAGUCAAGAUCUAGGGGCCAAGAGAUGACUGAGGCAUGUAGAAGUGUCCUGAUAGAGCGAGUAAAACAACAAGUUGAGUUGCUUGUCGAGCUGUCUGGCUUCGUAAGAAAUGGGCAUAUUCUUUUGCAAAUUUGACGAUAAUGGAUUGUUUAGUGGGCAGUAUACUACCAACACUGGAAACCUGUCUGUCCUGCAUUGGCGACCUUAGGAGGAAAUCAAUGCAAGGAGUAACAGGUAUCACAACUAUGCCCUCUUGUUGCAGUAACUACAUCUGGGAAUAUUUCUUCACCACCUCUAGUGCCUCUACUACCUCGAGUACCCCCACGAGUGCUAGAGGGUGCUACAUAUAAAUUAGAUUGUAUGAUAAAAAUAGAUCUAUCUCUAGUAGGCACAUGUUCUAGGACAGCUGGAAUGGAGGCUACUCGAAGUAGUCGUGAAAAGACAUCUGUUGGUGAAGAAAUUGAUUCACCACCUAGGAUCUACGUUUGACUAAUUCAUCCUUAGGUCGAAUACUUUACAGACAAAUAAUUGAAAAUAUCUUCUCUAAUUGAGUUUGUUGUACUUUCAAAUCUGUAGUAAAGGGCAUCAAUUCAUUAAAUUCGAUGAAAAGUGCUUGCAAUUGGCCCAAGUGUGUUUGCAUAUCUAUAUUGGCCUGUCUCAGUGGAAACAGAUGGGAGAGCUUGUGACAUCACUAGUGUAGAGCUCAUGAGCACGAGUCCACACCUCUUUACAUAUCCAAUAAGGACAAAAUAUAACCAUCAAGGAUGGAUCCAUGGCUUGCUACAAAAGACUAAGUAGUUGUGCAUCAAUCUUCUUUUGGGUGGCUUGAUCAGAUGUCUAAAUAUCAUAUAUGAAUUUGGAGAGAUGAUCUUCCUGCUCUUGACCCAUAAGCCAGACCUCGACAGUUGCACUCCAGUCAGAAAAAUUUUUGCUAUUCAGCUUCGUGGUGGUGAUUACAGUGUUGCUAGAGAUUGGAAGACUUGUGAUGUUGGUGACUUUGGAAUCAUUUUUUUAAUACAUUCUUGCAUAUGACGCCGGUGGACAAAGAAGUAGAUAUGACUUCAGCGAGGGAAGCCAAUGCAAUGAGAAGUCUCGCCUUCGAUCGGUGAGUGGUGCGUAGUGCAGUGAUGACACCUUCAAUUGAUGAAUGUGGGGUGGUGGUGCAGAAAACUGGACUCUCAGAAAUUAAAUUACUCUCAUGAAAUGCUCUAAUACCAUGUGAAAGUAAUAAUUGUAUCUCUUUUCAUAUAUGUAUUUUAUGUUACAAGACGCUCUAUAUAUAGAGCAAUAAAAGUCCAGAUACAAUGAACCAUCUAGAUAUAAUGAACUAUAUAAAUCAUGAUCUCAAUCAAAUGUUCUAUUAUCUAAUUGAUCUCUUAAUUGAUAUAUUUCCUAAACAGGAUUAUUCUUAACAUCUCCAAUGGUCGAAUUCUCAAAUAUGGCAUGAAAGGCAACUGAUAUGCUGCCAUUCAGUGAUUUAGUUUAUGAAGUUACUUUUUAUUGUUACUAAUCAAAUAAGGAGACUUGAUCUGUAUCUUUGCUAUUUUACUACUGCAUUAUUACAUGGAUACAUGUGAAUUCAAGUUUAGAAGCAACAAGAUAUUAAAUUUUUUACUUUUUCGAAUGAGUUUGAUGGAAUACAGUUGGACAUGAUCUUUCAUCAACCUACACUCAUAUGCCAUAAAACUAAUUUUGAAUGAGUUUUGCUUAAAAAGCUACUGAUUGUGGGAGAAAACCUUGUAACUCAUAGGCUCCAUCUGCUCUUUUAGUGCCUUGAAAAUGUGUAUGAGUGUAUCUAAAUAGAAAUGUAUAAGAGUCAUCUUGUGAUUCAAUAAUGCUGGUGCACAUGCAUUCAGUUACUUAUAUUUCUGAUGCUGAUCAAAACAAUCAUAGGAAAUUUCCUGUUUGUUUCUAACAAACUAUAGUACAGUGAAAUGCCGUAUGCUUUUUGAUUUCUUUUGCUUUUACUCUUAAUUGACAGGAUCAAACUAAUCCUCAAAUCAGCAGAAAAGAAGAUUCUGAGAAAGAAUUCGUAGAACUUAGUACGACGGGAGCCAUAGUAUUUGUUAUAGCAGCAUCUACUUUCCUGGUGCUUCUAUUUUUUUUUAUGUCCUCUUGGUUUGUUUGGCUGCUGAUUGUCUUAUUCUGCAUAGGCAGUACUGAGGUACAGAAUUUUCAGAAUUCUUAUUUCUUGUAAAGGUUGUAUAAUUUUACUUAUGAUAGAGAAGCGUGGAGUAAUUUGUGCAGCUGGUCCUUUAAUGAUUAUAUUUUGAAGUUUUUAUUUGACAGGGAAUGCAUGUCUGCAUGGUGACACUUGUUUCAAGGUACAGGCAUGUUAAGUUGAUUUACUCUUAUGAAUCAUAACUCUUUAUGAAUCAUACAGGUAGUAUUUUUCAUUUUUAUUGUCUUUAAGUUUAUUUUUUGGUUUUCAGUUUGUUUGUUUAUUGAUCUCUAUUGAGCAGAAUUCUUAAAGGUUGUGGGCGGAUGACUAUAAGUCUUCCCGUUCUAGGGGAGGUUUCGAUUCUGUCUAUGUUGGUUUUACCAUUCUGUAUGGCAUUUGCCAUUUCUUGGGCUGUAAAUCGGAAUUCACCUCAUGCCUGGAUUGGGCAAGAUGUUCUUGUAAGAUAUUUUUCCACACUAAUCUUUUUCUUUUACUACACCUGUCCUUGUUUUUAUAUUCAUUGUAAAUCCAGUGCCAUAAUCUUGAACUUAAUAUGUGGGUUAGCUGUUCUUGUGCAUUUAUAUGAAAGCUAGCAAGUCUCUUUUUCGUAUAAAUACUUCCAUUAUUGUAACUUGAGCAAAUGCUACAAACUUGUAUGUACUAACUCACAUUAAGUAUUUCAUAUAAGAAUAAGUUGAUGGCAUAUAUACAAAAAUAAAAUAAUUAUAUAUAUUUUUAACAGAGCUAUGUGCAGUCCAGUAAUCUAAUGUCUACAUAUACAAGAUUUCUUUUCUAGGUCACAAUGGGUCAUGGCAUGAAGCUUAUAUAGUAGAUACUGACAUUACAUGGAAGUAUGAGCCUUUGUGAGAAAGUUGAAGGAGCUUGCUUGGUAGCUGUAUAUGGGUAAGGACAAGAUUAUGUGAAUAGAUUGGUCAGUGAUGCCUUGCUGUGACAUUUAGAUUUUCAGUUGUGUGGCUAGCAUUUCAGUAAUCAAAACAGAGAGUAAUGAUUCCAAAGUUGGAGAGAAGAUGAUGAUGUAGGUCACCACCAUGAUAAUUUUAGCCAUAAUCUUGGUUUGCUGUACUGUCCCAUACUGCUCGAUAUGGGGCAUACUAUACCUUACUAGUACACUAUACCACUCCAUUCCGACACUACCAUAUCGAACCACGUACUGACACUAUAAUAGGAUUUUAUUGGUAUGGGGUCUGGUAUUGAGACAGCGUACCUUGGCCAUAAUAGUACUAUACUUGACUAGUGCUAGACUGAAUUAUGUUUGUUUGUUUAUUGUUCUUCAUGUAGGUGAGGGAUCUCCAAGAUCUAGAAAUUAAUUAGUAUGAUUGCCAAUUUAAUCUUCAUUACUAAACCUGGAAACUUUGAUGAGAAGUAUGAGCAAUUGUUUGUUCCCCAGAGGUAUAGUACAUAGUCAAUGAGCUUGCAAUGACAUUGAACUAGCUUACCAUAUAGAUAACUUGUGUCAAGGAGCAAGAAAUGAUAUUGCAAUAGCUCACCAUUAACUUGCAAUUUUGGACUGUUCACAAAGUUACAUAUGGCAAACAAUUAUAAAAUGAACAGAGCAUUGUGAGGAACCCAUCUGUCUCUAGUUUGCUAUGAGAAAUAAAGACAUUGGAGACCGCAGGGUGAGACAAAAUCCAGCUAUAACUCCAUUUAAGGUCUCCAGCUCCUUCUGCAGAAUUAUCAAUUUGAAGCCAAGAUUAAACACAUGUGCUAUAGAUAGUUAGAAAUGGCAACCAGUUAGUUUGCCAAAACAAGGAUUGUUCAAAAAGGCCUAUAUAUAAGGCUCACCUCCUUCACUUCUUGAGGCCAAUUGCUUCAAAAAUGCCUCGCGGCUCAGCCAUGUGUGAGUCUUCUAUUGCGACCUGUAUUGCAUAAAGGAGCUCAUUCUCUAAUGUAGGAAGCACACCUUGCACCUGAAGAUACACUUAACAUUCAUUAAGCUUAUACUAUUUCAACAACUUAGAAGGGAGGAGAGGCUCUUUGAUAUUAUUGCAUGAUAUUGUAUAUGCACUCAAUUCUAGAACAAAGUUUGGUCAUAUUUAGAUUUUUGCAUAACUGGUCAUAGAUUGUGCAAUCCUCUCCAAUAUUUUCUAGUUAUGUGAUUAUGUCCAACUCCCACUUCCUUUAUAUUUCCUAUUUUCACAUCAUUUUUGCAUGGAAUUCUGAAUCUUUUAAGAAAGUACAUGAGGCUACAGCUUAUGCAUUUAUGCUUGAGCAAUUAUGCUUCGCCUUAAAUCUCCACAUUUUGGAAAAUUGGCAGCUCAUUAUGUAUUGGUCCAUUCCAUGGAUGGGCCUGACAAUCUGAGAAUCACAGAGUAGCAUGAUUCUGCAUUUCCCAUUGCUAGAUUUAUUAGUAAACCCAAUAGCUUUGCUUCAAAUUUUAUUGGUAACCUUGGUAAAUUCUAUUGAGACUUAUCCUGAACUCAGCAAGUCCCACUGUCAUUUUCAGGUUUCUAAGGAGAUAUCACAACACUGGUUUUUUUACAGGUCCAUUUAGUCCUCAAAGUUCUUUUAUUUCUCGUUGUUUCUGCCCUAAAUUUAUCAUAUAUCUCCUUCUCAGGUUGCACUUAUUGCGUUCAUUAUAAAUGCUGAAAAUACUUUCCAUUUUCAGCUGCCAAGCUUCAUGUUUAAGUUAAUGGUCAUUAUGUAGGUUUUUCUACCUGAUCUUUCUUUCUUGCUCUUCUAUGAGUCAUAUUUGAAAAUUGUUAGAGAUGGGUGGUGCUAGGAGAUGUUCCAUUCAGUAAGAAUGGGCAAGUUCCCUAAGAGGGCGUUCUUCUAUUGCACCAAGAUUCAUCAAUCUGGGUAGUCAGCCAGUUUGUACGGGCACCAACAACAUUCAUAUUCUCAGUUUCAUUAUAUCCACUAGAAUCACAAAUCUGUUCCGCACUUCCUGCAAAGUCUUUUUGAUUCUAUCUGAGUCUGCUUGUCAGCUACAUGUCUGCACCUUUCCACCAAUUAGAUCCUUGCUAGUUGCUACUAAGAUCAAUGUUCUAUGAAACAAAUGUCUGAAACAUCCUUUUAGGUCACCAUUUCUGCCACAUGUACAUGAUCAUGCAUGAAUUCUUAUUGGAUCCUUCUUGAGUACUUAUUGGGGAAAGCUAUAAAAAAUGAAGAAUUUAAGUGCUGCCAACUGAAAAAAAGGAACUUUAGUUAACAUAGAAUAAAAGAAAUAGCCAGAUACCAGUACUGGCCCAGCAGCAUAAAUGUGACUUGGCAUGGACUCCACAGGGUGGACCUUAAAAAGAACCAUGGCUCUAACACAUUUAAAAAACAUUUGAAAAUUUUAAGACCAGUUGAGCAAUUCUUUUAUCCAUUUUGAUUCGGAAAACUUCAAGAGGUUAAGUCAGGACUCAGGAUAUUGCAUGCAAUUCUGAGUCUGUCUACAAAAUGAUAUAUACAUGUUACUAAUGCAUGUACUAUCUCCAUCCAUUGUAGGAGCAUGUUUCAGAUAGGAACCUGAGAUAUGUUUAGAUAAAGUAGUCCCCCUGUUUUUUGGAUUCUUUUGGCACUGCAUGGAGUCCAUCAAGGAUUUAAGUACCCUGCAUAUUGGUUCAUGCCGGCUAUACUGAGUUAUACCAGUAAAGGGUGGUGUACCAAUAUUUGUACCAGUACAUGGUAUUUCACUGCUAUUUUGCUGUGUUUACACCUCUCAGUACUCUAUUGGUAUGAUUAGCUACCAACAUGGGCACUGGUACCAAUAGUCCAACGACUCCAACCCUUGAUAUAUCUGAUUUCAGUUUGAGUCUCCUUCAUAAUAGAACCUUUCAUUCGAACUACCUCUGCAGUACUUCACUUGCAUAUGGCUAUCAAGACUUUUUCCACUGAUUUAAAAGAACUUAAUCUGCAAGCUUUAUCCUAGCUAUACUGGAUUUGUUUUAUGGAGCAGAGUUUGAUCUGUAAUAUAUAGAUUGGAUUAUUUUCUAGUGUUUAAGCAUCAGUGUUGCCUAAUUAUCAGAAGAGGUCAUGCGAUAUAUUGUCAAUAUACUUUUGACAAUAAUGAUGAAGUAAAGCAAUAGGAGCACUAAAUUCAUGUUAAAAUACUAUUCAAAUCCUACUUUGAAAGGUCAUUCUACAAACCUAAAAAAGUUUGUCAUAAACCUGCUAGUUCAACUUGUUGGCAUUGGCAUUGUUUACCUGUAACUAUAUAAAUAAGAACAUUGUAUUCUACAAGGUGUUCAUUGAAAUUCUGCAUUAUUCUUCCUUCUAUGUAACUCAUUCAUGGAGAUACUGCUGAGAUCUUAAUUGCAUCUUACUUUAAUUGGAUUCUUUCUCUUCCAUUCUUUCAGGGCAUCUGUCUGAUGAUUACAGUGUUGCAAGUGGCCCGCUUACCUAAUAUAAAGGUAAUUUGAAAUAAUGACAUCCAGAUUCUGCUGUAGCUGCAACAUCCUACCAUCUAAUCAUUUUUUUUUGGAAAUUCAGGUUGCAUCAGCUCUUCUUACCUCUGCAUUUUUCUACGAUAUAUUCUGGGUGUUUCUUUCACCCUUGAUAUUCCAUAAAAGUGUUAUGAUUGCGGUAAGUGUAGCUCCUAGAUAUUUUCACUUAUUGAGUUUUCAGAUGGAAAAAUAUCUUCUCAUAACUUAUUUGUAUAAGGGAAUAUCUUUCAUUUAUCAAGAAUUUCAUUAGUGAUGUCUGGUUAUUACCAUGGUUUGUAAUACCAUCCGAUAUGGGGCAUACCAUACCAUACCAUACUAUACUGGUAUGCUGUCUCGGACCAUACUGAACCAUGUAUCAAUACUAUAAUAGGAACAUACUAAUAUGGGGUUCGAUACCGAGAUGAUGAAUCUUGGUUACUACAGUAACUAUUAUAUUGCAACUUGUUUGUUAACUGGAUCUGCUUUAUGGUCUUAUGAAUUUUUUCUUCUUGGUUUAUUUGGAUAGCUAUCAUUUUCAUCAAUUAAAAGAUAAGCUAUUGACUACAAAGUCUGCUGUAUAGAUUAGUACCAUACGAUACCGAUUGUACCAUACUGUACUAAUACCAAACCUAUAUAUCAAACCAUAACAUAUGGACCUUGGUAUGUCGAACCUUAUUGUAUUGUACUAUGCACUAACAUUGUUAUACCACGUAUCGAUACUAUAAUAGGAUGGUUGUUGUUGGUCUAUAUUAUUCGACCUCAUCAUUGUCUGGACACAUGGUAUCAGAUUGUUAUCUAAAAUAAAUCUUCUCUCAGGUUACAUCGGCCCAAGACUGACCUGCCUCUUUAGUAUUAUCUGCUAAUCAGCUUAAUCCAGAAUUGCUUACAAGCUUGAUGCUCACCUUGAUUUGUUUUCGAUCUCCAUCACCUAACUUCGGUUGUUGGCCGACUUGAUUAUUGACACCAAAGGCAUAACACUCAGUCCAGAUAGUUACUGAUGUCAGCUAUUCCACAUCGAUUUGUUACCGACGUGCCAUCGUAUCUAUGGACGGUUAUCUGACAGCUGUCAUUCAGCUCAGCCAUAACUGUCUUCCUGUCUCGUCUUCUUCUGGAGAAGCUCAAGAGGUCACCCAAUUGCCAGUUGCUAUUGAUCCUCAGCAAUUUAGUCUAUUAGUUCAGCAAGUUCAAGCCCUCACUGCUGUGCUGCAACAACUUUAGUGUACCACUGAGCAACAGCAAUGAGAAGCAAGUCCUUAAGUGGUUCAAUCCCAUCAUUCCCAGCAACAAAUUCCUCAAAAUCCUCAUAAUCAUGCUCUAGAUCUCACAGAUCAAUCCUGGGGGGCAGAAUCAUCUGCUCCAAGUAGAAAAUGAGUAUGGAAGAAGGUCUUAGGCAAAAGAUUCAAGAUCUUGAAAAGAAAUUGAUGGAAAUUCAGAUUGGAAGCUCACAAGAUGGAAGGGAUUUCAGCCUGUGAUCUCCCUUCUCUCAGUAGAUCCUUGAUGAACCGGUCCCUCUUCAGUUUAAGAUGCUUGCUGUGGAGUCAUUCAACAGCUCCAUUGAUCCUUUUGACCAUCUGAAAGGUUUUAGAGCCAUUAUGAGGCUGCAAGGGGUGUCUGAUGCCCUACUCUGUAUCACCUUCCUAAUCACCCUCAAAAAGUUUGCGAGAAUUUGGUUCUUUGGCCUUCAGUCAGGAUCUGUUUCCUCUUUUGAACAGUUAGCCAAGCUGUUCAUUACCUACUUUGGUAAUAAUAGAGUUCACCUGAAAAAAUACUAACGGUCUUUUUAUUGUGAAGCAGCAAGAAGGUGAAUCUCUGCAGGAUUAUGCUGCACGUUUCAAUGCGGCUACUCUGGAAAUCAAGAACUUCAAUGAGUCCAUUACUAUGACAGCUCUAAGGCAGGGACUCAGAAGCAACCGCCUGAUCUUCUCCCUCAACAAAAAUUAUCCGGAUAACUAUGAGCAAAUACUUGUUCGGGUAUGGAGGUAUACUCAGGUUGAAGAAGAAAAAAGCAUAAUCCAUCAGGCAAGGAAAGAAGAGGGUGGAAAAAAACGACCUCGAAAAGAAGAUCACAGAAAUCAACAAAGGAAUACUGAUCAAUCUCGAAAAAAUUCAAGGUCUGGAAGCCCACCUCGACGAUUUGAUUCUUAUACUUCUUUAUUUGCUCCUUGAGCUCAAAUACUGAUGGAGAUCAAGGAUCAAGGGUAUCUUCCUAACCUAACCCUAUGAGAGCCCCACCAGCAAAAAGAGAAAAGAAAGUACUACCGCUACCAACAGGAUCAUGGCCAUGACAUUGAGUGCCGGCAAUUGAAAGAUGAAAUUGAGGCACUGAUACCUCGAGGUUAACUUAGCAAAUAUGUCCAAGAUCGGACCAAUCAAGCUAUCGACUAGUGACAGAAGCCAGACAAUGAAAAUGACCUCAACAGACCUACAGCUAGAGUUAUCAACAUGACCUUGGAUCUUAUGAAACUGAAGAGGCAGUUGAAGUGGCUGGGAGCUCCCUAAAACAUCAAUGCAUAGACAAUACUAUUUUUUUUUGAUGAUGUCAAAGGAGUUCAAACUCCUCACAAUAAUGCUGUUGUCGUUUCCAUGACAAUAGCAAAAUAUGAUAUAAAAAAAUAUUAGUAGAUAAUGAAAGCUCUACUGACGUAUUGUUCUAUGAUACAUUCCAAAAAAUGAAUUUGAUAGGUCAGUUAAAGCAGGUCGGCACCUCCUUAAUUGGCUUUUCUGAGAAUUCUGUAACAGCAGAAGGAGAAAUUAUUUUGCUAGUCAUUGCAGGCACAGAACCUUACCAAUCAACAAUAAGACUUAUUUUUUUGGUUGUUAAAGUGCCAUCAGCUUACAAUGCAAUUCUUAGCUGACCUAGGCUCAAUGUCCUCAAAGCUGUAGUUUCCACCUACCACUUGUUAGUUUGAUUCCUCACUAAAUAUGGAGUCGAAGAAAUGCGAGGAGAUCAGAUGCUUGCUAAAUAGCACUUCUUGAUAGCAACAAAAAUGAAGAGACCUGUGGAAGCCUUACCAAUCAAAAUAUUGGAUCAAGAAAAUAAAGCUGAUGUUGGAAAAAGUCGAGAAGAACCAGCUGAGAAGCUUGUCACUGUUCCUUUGGGUGAUGAUCCAAAAAAAAUAGUUCAGAUUGGGUCUUUACUAGAGCCUGACUUAAAAAGGAGAAACUGAUAUAUUUUCUUCGGGCAAAUGCCAAUAUCUUCACUUGGUCAGCAUCCGACAUGCCUGGAAUCUUAGCCGAUGUUAUUAUGCAUAAGCUCAAUGUUGAUCUAAAGUAUAAACCAAUGCAACAAAAGAAAAAAAACUUUGCUCCAGAAAAGCAGAAAGCAAUAGAUGAGGAAUUUGAUAAAUUAUUGAAGGCCAAAUUUAUUAGAGAAGCAUAGUGCCCGAAUUGGAUUGCAAAUAUUGUCAUGAUAAAGAAAGCCAAUGAAAAGUGGAGGAUUUGUGUUGAUUACACCGACCUCAACAAAGAUUGUUCAAAAGAUAGUUUUUCUCUUUCAAAAAUUGAUCAGCUUGUUGAUACAUCUUCAGGACACAUUGCUGAGUUUCAUGGAUGCUUUCUCUGAUUACAAUCAAAUCAAAAUGCCACCUGACGAUGAGAAAAAUGCGGCCUUUGUCAUCGAGAGAGAUUUGUAUUGUUAUAAAAUGAUUUCUUUUGAUCUUAAAAAUGUAGGUACCACAUAUCAACGUCUGGUGAACAAGAUCUUCAACCAACAAAUUUAUCGCAAUAUGGAGAUCUAUGUUGAUGAUAUGUUGGUGAAAAGCACUGAAUCAGAUCGGUAUAUUAUCAUCUAGGGGAAGCUUUUGGUGAACUUUGCAAGUAUUAAAUGAAGCUCAACCCCAAUAAAUAUAUUUUCGGAGUGACUUUGAAAAAAUUCUUAAUUUUUUAAUAACUCAAUGAGGAAUCGAAGCCAAUCCUGAAAAAAUCUGAGCUCUACUCAAAAUGAAGCAUCCGAGCUCCAUUAAAGAAGUUUGCAGCUCACUGGAUGGUGGCUUCUCUCAGUCGAUUUAUCUCUAGAUUAGUUAAAAAAUAUCUUCUUUUUUUAAAAUUCUCAGGCAUAUUAAAGACUUCACUUGGUCGGAUGAAUGUCGAGCUGCUUUCGAUGACCUCAAGAAAUAUCUCGGAUCCGCUCUAUUGUUAUCAAAGCCACUGGAAGGUGAGGAGUUAUUCAUGUAUUUAUCUGUUUCAGCUAACGCUAUUAGUUCGAUUUUGGUCUGAAGUGAUGCAGGAACACAAAGACCAAUCUAUUAUACAAGCAAAUUGCUUAGAAAUACUGAAACUCGAUAUUCCAAAACUGAGAAAAUGAUCUAUGCUCUUAUUACGUCUGUAAGAUGGCUUCAACUUUAUUUUCAAGCUCACUCUGUCAUAGUUUUGACUGAUCAAUCUCUGAAGUCAGUCUUACAGCGGCUUGAUACUUCAGAUUGGAUUGCUAAGUGGGCUAUUGAAUUAAGUGAGUUCGACAUUCAUUAUCGACCUUAGUCUUUAUUGAAAGCUCAAGUGCUAGCUGAUUUUAUUGUUGAAUGUUCUAUUCCUGAUGAAGAACCAAUUUUGAAAAAUUUGAAAAAUGUUAAUAUGGAUUCUUAUUGGAUAUUAUAUGUUGAUGGAGCUUCUAAUUCUAAAAGAAGUGGAGCUGGUUUAAUUCUAGCAAGCCCAGAAGGCGUUGUCACUAAACGCGUUUUAAGAUUUAAUUUUGAUACCUCAAAUAACAAAGCAGAAUAUAAGGCAUCGAUUGUAGGACUUGAGAUGGUUAAAGAACUCAAUAUUAAGAGGCUUAAAGUCUUCAUUGAUUCUCAGUUUAUUGUCGGUCAGGUAUGGGGUCAAUUUGAAGCUAAAUAUUUCACUUUAUCUCAAUAUUUAUAUAAUAUGAAAGAAUUAUCAAAAAGCUUUGAAGAUCUAGAAGUCAUACAGAUACCUAGGUCGGAAAAUGGCUGAGUCGAUGCUCUAUCUCAUUCAGCCACAUCUGGUUUCUUCGAGCUCUAUUCAAAUAUUUUUGUUGACAUUCUUGAAAAGCCUAAUAUUGAGGCCUUGCCUCUUGCCCAAAUUGAUCACGAGCCAAGCUGGAUUGAUCCAUUAAUGGAGUAUCUCGCUAAAGAAGUUUUGUCAGCUAAUCCAGUUGAAGCAAGAAGAAUUAAAAGACAGGAUGGUAUGUCAUCCUAGACAACCAACUAUAUAAGAGAUCAUAUUCUUCUCCACUGCUUUGAUGUCUAAGACCAUCAGAAGUUGAUUAUGCUCUUUGAGAAGUUUCUGAAGUAAUUUGCAGCAAUCACUUGGAGAGCAGAUCUUUAGCUUAUAAAAUAAUCAGAUAAGAUUAUUAUUGGCUUACUAUUCAAAAAGAUUCUGCCAAUCUUGUCAACAAAUGUGAUCAGUAGUAAAGGAAUGCCAAUAUUCAACAUCAGUCUGCAUCCGAGCUCAUUUCUAUUACAGUAUCCUAGUCUUUUGCUAUAUGGGGAAUGAAUAUUCUGAGACCUUUUUUCAAUGGCUAUAGGAUAGAGAAAAUUUUUGAUCAUAACCAUUGAUUAUUUCAUCAAAUGGAUAGAAGCCGAGCCACUAGCACAAAUCACUGAGAAAAAGAUAAAAAAUUUUGUAUGAAAAUCGAUUAUCUGCCAUUUCGAUUUUCCUCGAGUGAUAAUCACUGAUAAUGGAUAGCAGUUUGAUAACAAAAAAAUAAAAAAAUUAUUCUGAGCUCCACAUUGAUCACAGAUUCACUUCAGUUGGACAUCCAUAGUUUAAUGGAGAAGUCGAAGUCACUAACAGAAUCAUUCUUCAAGAUAUAAAAAUAAGAUUCAUUGAAGUUAAGGACUCUGGGCAGAAGAAUUUUAUAAUGUUCUCUUGGCAUACAGACCUGCACCUCAGAUACCAACUGGAAAAACACCUUUCAAACUCAUUUUUGGAACAGAGACUGUAAUACCUGUUGAGAUCGAUCUACCUACGACCAUAACACAAAUUUUCAUGCUGAAAGUAAUUUAGAUCAGCUGAGAAAUGAUCUUGAUUUACUUGACGAAAUCUGAGAGAAAGCUCAGAUCCGUAUGGCAGUUUAUAAGCAAAGAGUAGCCAGAUAUUACAUUCUCGAGUGAAGCCUAAAAUUUUUCACAAGGGUGAUCUGAUUCUUUGACGAGCUAAAGUCUCAAAGCCAACGAAACAAGAAAAACUUACUCUAAACUAGGAAGGACCAUAACAGAUUACCGAAGUAAUUCGUCUAGAGGCUUACCAAAUUAAAAAUCUAGAUGGUACAAAUAUCUCAAGAACAUGGAAUGCUGAAAAUCUUAGAAUGUACUAUCAAUGAAAUCUUGUCAAUAAAAGCAUUCUAGUUUUGUCCCAAUAAAGACAAAGUUCUAGCCAGAGUUUCUAUUGAAGAAUCCUUCUUCAUCCAAAUUAGAUUGGUAAAAGCCGAUCAAACGAGGAUGAUUAUAAGAAGGAAAUCAAGGUGUCCAAAUGAGGUUGGAAAAAGCCACGAUAAGGCCAUAAAAAUUCUGAUCAAAUCAGGACAACCUGAUGCGAGACAUCCGAUCUUUGAAUUGGACGUCACCAAAGAACAUGAGACACCCGAUCUCCGAAUUGGAUCUCAUUAGACAAUUUGGAAUCUUUGAUCUUUGGAUCAGACCUUAUUGAGAAAUAUGAAGAAAUGACCUAAAUCCUGUGGAAAGAGUGCUCAGAUCUAUAGCUGGAUUUCUCUAAUGAUGACUAUGGGAGGAUAAUGCGGAUUAUCAAUCUCUGGAUGAUAAAAUCUGACUUGUCGUUUCUACUUCGGUUAAAGGUAUUUUUGAAACCUUUACAUUGAAUUAUUAGAGAUUGAUUUAUCUUCAAUUAUGUGAUCUGAUUCAAUUUAGUUCAAUGAUAAAGAUUACUUUUUAAAGUUAAUCAUGUUAGUCUAUCUUAUUUCUUUAAGCUGAAAAUAGUCAUUUGACAUAUUUGAUUAACUGAUCUUAAGUUGCAUGUACUUGUUAUCAUCUGACUGACGUUAGAAAAUAAAUAACUUGUGCAUAUUUCAAAAUGAGUAAAACUCAAGUCGGAUUAUCUGAGAUCGGGAAGAAGAAACAAACACAUUUAAAAAAAUUCUAUUUCAUUGAUAUAAAAAGAAUAACUACAAAAGCCCACAUCGGGCUGAUACAAAAGUUAAAAAUAAAGAAAAAUACAAGUCAGGCUUUAGCUUGAGAAUCUUCCACUGGAGAAGCUGCUGGGGGAGCUGAACUGGACUCUUCCUUAACCUUUUCCUUCAGGGGACCUUUGGUGAUGAUGACCUCGGUCCGGCUGGCCGGGACUUCGGUUGGAGGUACCUUAAUGGAAGGGGUUAAAGGGGGCUGGGUGGCUGUAACUUCAGAGGUUAUCUCGACCACUGCUUCUAUAGAUGCCUCUAUGGUGACCUUGCUGAGGUCGAGGUUGGACAAGUGCUUGAUGAUCAAGCAUCGACAGCUCUUGAAGCCGUAGUCAAAGACCCUCUCUGAUGCUUCAGUCACCUCAUCCUGGAAAGCUUCAAGUGCUUAUACUUCUCGAUAAGAUGGGAUAUCCGCUCCUGGUCCCUAUCGAGCUGACGUCGAUAUGCGAUCAAGGCUUCAUCCAGCUUUUCAAUGGUAUCUUUAGCCUCCUUUAAGUUUAUUUUCCAUCUCAGAGAUCCUCUCACUAUUCUUCCAUAGCUGGUCCUCCUUUUCAGCCUGCUGAUCAUCUUUCUCAUUCAGCUGACGCUGAUUGUCCAGCAGUUGCUUAUUUUUGUCCUUUAUUGACUCUAUCUUUUCUUGAAGCUGCUUCUUCAGUCCCUCUACUGUUUCUUUUUUCUUGGCAGCUUUCUUUUCUACUGCCUUCUUAGCCUCCUCGACCGCCUUCUUGACCUCCUCGGCCUUAGGACUUUCCUCCAUGACUUUUUUAUUCUCAUUCAACCAUGCCAUGUGCUCAUGCAGCAGCCUAAAGUACAUGGUAGAUUGCAAAAACAACAGAAAGAAAAAAAUGAUUAGAUCGGCAAAUACCAAUGUGAAAAGAAGAGAGAAGAACAGAAAAGAAAAAUAUGGUU